GACGAACGCUGGCGGCGUGCUUAACACAUGCAAGUCGAACGGAAAGGCCCCUUUGGGGGUACUCGAGUGGCGGACGGGUGAGUAACACGGGAGUAACCUGCCCUUGACUUCUUGAUGACUUCAGUAAACUGGGGCUAAUACCGGAUAGGAAUCCUUGCUGCAUGGGGGGGGUUGGAAAGCUUCGGCGGUUUUGGAUGGACUCGCGGCUUAUCAGCUUGUUGGUGGGGUAGUGGCUUACCAAGGCUUUGACGGGUAGCCGGACUGAGAGGGCGACCGGCCACAUUGGGACUGAGAUACGGCCCAGACUCCUACGGGAGGAAGCAGUGGGGAAUAUUGAACAAUGGGCGGAAGCCUGAUGCAGCAACGCCGCGUGCGGGAUGACGGCCUUCGGGUUGUAAACCGCUUUCAGCAGGGGAGAAGCUUGUGGUGACGGUACCUGAAGAAGAAGCACCGGCUAACUACGUG
Molecule: ribosomal RNA, 465 nt
Filed under: uncultured bacterium
Lineage: Bacteria
Description: partial 16S ribosomal RNA
Rfam family: Bacterial small subunit ribosomal RNA
Source: RNAcentral